CGGGGUGUAGCGCAGUCCGGUUAGCGCAUCUGGUUUGGGACCAGAGGGUCGGGAGUUCGAAUCUCUCCACCCCGACAA
This 78-nucleotide transfer RNA is filed under the name Bacteroidales bacterium. RNAcentral describes it as "tRNA-Pro". It matches the Rfam family "tRNA". From Rfam's summary of the family: Transfer RNA (tRNA) molecules are approximately 80 nucleotides in length. Lineage: Bacteria; Pseudomonadati; Bacteroidota; Bacteroidia; Bacteroidales. The record is from RNAcentral.